RNAcentral lists this ribosomal RNA (497 nucleotides) under uncultured bacterium. RNAcentral describes it as "partial 16S ribosomal RNA". It matches the Rfam family "Bacterial small subunit ribosomal RNA", at positions 28 to 507 of the family's 1533-position model. The record is from RNAcentral.
GAUGAACGCUGGCGGCGUGCCUAAUACAUGCAAGUCGAGCGAACAGAUGAGGAGCUUGCUCCUCUGACGUUAGCGGCGGACGGGUGAGUAACACGUGGAUAACCUACCUAUAAGACUGGGAUAACUUCGGGAAACCGGAGCUAAUACCGGAUAAUAUAUUGAACCGCAUGGUUCAAUAGUGAAAGACGGUUUUGCUGUCACUUAUAGAUGGAUCCGCGCCGCAUUAGCUAGUUGGUAAGGUAACGGCUUACCAAGGCGACGAUGCGUAGCCGACCUGAGAGGGUGAUCGGCCACACUGGAACUGAGACACGGUCCAGACUCCUACGGGAGGCAGCAGUAGGGAAUCUUCCGCAAUGGGCGAAAGCCUGACGGAGCAACGCCACGUGAGUGAUGAAGGUCUUCGGAUCGUAAAACUCUGUUAUUAGGGAAGAACAAAUGUGUAAGUAACUAUGCACGUCUUGACGGUACCUAAUCAGAAAGCCACGGCUAACUACGUG